AAAAAAAAAAAAAAAAAAUUCCAUUCCUCUAUAUUUUCUUGGGUUGCGGCCCAUCCAUUGUCAGAGCGCUUUAGAUUUUGCCAAUCUCAUGAAAGCCGAACUCCAUCUCGGAGAAAUUAAAUUCUCAUUUAGGUUCCCUCGCAGGCUCCAUGAGUCCUCAGAAAAUGCCAUCUCGAUUUCUCCCCUUCCUUUGCUUGGUUCCAAAUGUUUUGUGCUAUGAAACCCAAAUUACUUCUAGAAUUGUAACAAUUUAACACUGAUACAUAAAUGAAA
Molecule: unclassified non-coding RNA, 273 nt
Filed under: Hevea brasiliensis (rubber tree)
Lineage: Eukaryota; Viridiplantae; Streptophyta; Magnoliopsida; Malpighiales; Euphorbiaceae
Source: RNAcentral